This 165-nucleotide ribosomal RNA is filed under the name Harpullia ramiflora. RNAcentral's name for it is "5.8S ribosomal RNA". It matches the Rfam family "5.8S ribosomal RNA". From Rfam's summary of the family: 5.8S ribosomal RNA (5.8S rRNA) is a component of the large subunit of the eukaryotic ribosome. It is transcribed by RNA polymerase I as part of the 45S precursor that also contains 18S and 28S rRNA. RNAcentral also lists the same sequence under 2 other names. Lineage: Eukaryota; Viridiplantae; Streptophyta; Magnoliopsida; Sapindales; Sapindaceae. The record is from RNAcentral.
AAACGACUCUCGGCAACGGAUAUCUCGGCUCUCGCAUCGAUGAAGAACGUAGCGAAAUGCGAUACUUGGUGUGAAUUGCAGAAUCCCGUGAACCAUCGAGUCUUUGAACGCAAGUUGCGCCCCAAGCCUUUAGGCCGAGGGCACGUCUGCCUGGGUGUCACGCAA